GCCCGGGCCGUAUAUACAUUUUGUGUCGAGCGGCAGAUAUUUUACGAUAUCUAUACGAAGAAAUCCCAAAUAUCUGUGUAUCGUUCUAUUACAGUUAUCCCCCUUUCUAAAGAAAGUUGUAACCCCUGUCAGUCCAUCUUUCCUCGUUAUGAUUUGAUGUCGUCUCUACAGUGGGAUUUCCAGUGACACUAGAACAAUAGAAAAAUCACUCUUCUUAUGAAAGAGAUAGAAAAGGUAGAAAAAAAGGAGAGACAAUUUACGCAUACAAACCGAUAUGCAUAGGGAUGAAUAUCUCUUAAAACACAAAACAUUAUAUAACUUUUAUACAAC
RNAcentral lists this long non-coding RNA (330 nucleotides) under Mytilus galloprovincialis (Mediterranean mussel). Lineage: Eukaryota; Metazoa; Mollusca; Bivalvia; Mytilida; Mytilidae. The record is from RNAcentral.